AGCUUUGCGCAGUGGCAGUAUCGUAGCCAAUGAGGUUUAUCCGAGGCGCGAUUAUUGCUAAUUGAAAACUGACCCAGAAAAUGAUAGAAUUAGUACUCGUUGAAAGUUAUUAUACAUUCAAAAAG
This 125-nucleotide small nuclear RNA is filed under the name Tursiops truncatus (common bottlenose dolphin). RNAcentral's name for it is "U4 spliceosomal RNA (ENSTTRG00000022450.1)". It matches the Rfam family "U4 spliceosomal RNA". From Rfam's summary of the family: U4 small nuclear RNA (U4 snRNA) is a component of the major U2-dependent spliceosome. The structure of U4 snRNA from yeast and human has been reported. Lineage: Eukaryota; Metazoa; Chordata; Mammalia; Artiodactyla; Delphinidae. The record is from RNAcentral.